RNAcentral lists this ribosomal RNA (501 nucleotides) under uncultured Anaerolineaceae bacterium. RNAcentral describes it as "bacterial SSU rRNA". It matches the Rfam family "Bacterial small subunit ribosomal RNA", at positions 8 to 523 of the family's 1533-position model. Lineage: Bacteria; Bacillati; Chloroflexota; Anaerolineae; Anaerolineales; Anaerolineaceae. The record is from RNAcentral.
AGAGUUUGAUCCUGGCUCAGGAUGAACGCUGGCGGCGUGCUUAAUACAUGUAAGUCGAACGAGGAGUUUUGCUUCGGUAAAUCUCCGAGUGGCGAACGGGUGAGUAACGCGUUGGUGACCUGCCCCGAAGAGGGGGAUAACGGCUCGAAAGGGCUGCUAAUACCCCAUGUGGUCGUAGAGGUUAGAGGCUUUACGUCUAAAGGAGCAAUCCACUUCGGGAUGGGCCUGCGUCCCAUCAGCUAGUUGGUAGGGUAAUGGCCUACCAAGGCGACGACGGGUAGGGGGCCUCAGAGGGUGACCCCCCACACUGGCACUGAAACACGGGCCAGACACCUACGGGUGGCAGCAGUAGGGAAUAUUGCACAAUGAGCGAAAGCUUGAUGCAGCAACGCCGCGUGCGCGAUGACGGCCUUCGGGUUGUAAAGCGCUUUUCGGGGAGAUGAGGAAGGACAGUAUCCCCGGAAUAAGUCUCGGCUAACUACGUGCCAGCAGCCGCGGUAA